This 993-nucleotide ribosomal RNA is filed under the name uncultured organism. Its description in RNAcentral is "bacterial SSU rRNA". It matches the Rfam family "Bacterial small subunit ribosomal RNA", at positions 16 to 980 of the family's 1533-position model. The record is from RNAcentral.
AUCCUGGCUCAGAAUGAACGCUGGCGGCGUGCUUAACACAUGCAAGUCGAACGAGAAAUCUUUAGCUUGCUAGAGAAAGUAAAGUGGCGCACGGGUGAGUAACGCGUGGGUAAUCUGCCUCCGAGUCGGGGAUAACAUUGCGAAAGCGAUGCUAAUACCGGAUAAAAUCUGGUUGGCUUCGGUGAACCGGAUCAAAGGUGGUCUCUUUUAAAAAGCUACCGUUUGGAGAUGAGCUCGCGUACCAUUAGCUUGUUGGUGGGGUAAAGGCUCACCAAGGCGACGAUGGUUAGCUGGUCUGAGAGGAUGAUCAGCCACACCGGAACUGGAACACGGUCCGGACUCCUACGGGAGGCAGCAGUGAGGAAUUUUGCGCAAUGGGGGAAACCCUGACGCAGCAACGCCGCGUGAGUGAUGAAGGCUUUCGGGUCGUAAAGCUCUGUCAGGUGGGAAGAACCCACCAGGUGUAAACAUCACCUGGUGCUGACGGUACCACCGAAGGAAGCACCGGCUAACUCCGUGCCAGCAGCCGCGGUAAUACGGGGGGUGCGAGCGUUAUUCGGAAUCAUUGGGCGUAAAGGGCGCGCAGGCGGUUUUGUAAGUCAGAUGUGAAAUCCCGGGGCUUAACCCCGGAAGUGCAUAUGAAACUAUGAGACUUGAGUAUGGGAGAGGGAAGCGGAAUUCCUGGUGUAGCGGUGAAAUGCGUAGAUAUCAGGAGGAACACCGGUGGCGAAGGCGGCUUCCUGGACCAAUACUGACGCUGAGGCGCGAAGGCGUGGGGAGCGAACAGGAUUAGAUACCCUGGUAGUCCACGCAGUAAACGUUGAUCACUAGGUGUAGCGGGUAUUGACCCCUGCUGUGCCGGAGUUAACGCAUUAAGUGAUCCGCCUGGGGAGUACGAUCGCAAGAUUAAAACUCAAAGGAAUUGACGGGGGCCCGCACAAGCGGUGGAGCAUGUGGUUUAAUUCGACGCAACGCGAAGAACCUUACCUGGAC